Molecule: RNA transcript, 2925 nt
Organism: Abrus precatorius (Indian licorice)
Lineage: Eukaryota; Viridiplantae; Streptophyta; Magnoliopsida; Fabales; Fabaceae
Gene name: WD repeat-containing protein 13
Exons: 11
Source: RefSeq, a predicted model, not a curated record
AUUAUUAUUAAUUUUCCCCGAUUUCUCCACCGAUCACCGAUUGGUAAGGUCUGCAUUUAUGUUCACACAAGCUCUCUUUCUCUGUCAUUCGAAUCGAACCUUCACGCAAUAACCGUCGCGAAGUUCGCCGGAGAAUCGGGCUCGGCCACUGCUCUCCGAUGAACGCUUCAUAGGACACCAUGGCGGAGCACAGCAGCGCCACCGUCAAUGACGGCGAACCAGAACCGCGACAAAAUGAGGACCAUCACCACCUCAACAACAACGAAGGCGACAACGAGAAGAGUACAGAUCCAGAGCUAUUCUGCUGCUUGCUGCAGCCUGCCACCGCCGACUGCGAUCCCGAGUACAUCGGCAUUCGGCGCCUCCUCCUUUAUCGAAAGGCCGAGGCCGGAGUUCUCCACCGCAGAGAGUGGAGAUGCAAUGGAAAAACUUACGUGGCAUACCGGAAUUACAUAAGUCGACCAAGGGACUGGGAGAGUUCGCGUGCCCCAAGUCUGCAAAGUACUCCAGGAAACAGGAUAAUUUACUGGUUGAUGCAUCAGUGGCCGAUGGUUUCCAUCACCAAGUCCAUGCUCCCGUUGGUCUGAGGUUGACAGCAUUAGUUCUGGGCGGGAUCUGCAAAAUGCAAAUCCACUAUACAAUAAUAGAACGAGUUUUGGCUCAAGUGCAAGUGAAUCUGAUCGUCCUAGGCAUCGUGGCGCUGAGCCUGCCUAUUCUUUUGUUGGAAUGCAUUGUAUCUUUGAUCAGUGCAAAGCUUCUGUUACGGUGUUAAAGUUUGGACACAUGAGUUCUGAUCUACUUGCUUAUGGGGCAUCAGAUGGAACCUUGACUGUGUGCAGCGUUUCUGACAAACCUUCAGUCAUCAAACAAUUAAAUGGUCAUUCCAAAGAUGUCACAGAUUUUGAUUUUACGUCAAACAAUCAGUACAUUGCAUCGUCGUCUUUGGAUAAAACUGUGAGAGUAUGGGAGAUAGCAAAAGGCAUUUGCAUACGGGUGAUAUAUGGAGUUUCUUCACAGACAUGUAUCCGUUUUCACCCUGUAAGUAAUGGUGUCUGUUUUGUGUGUAGGUAUAACUAGCCAAUAACUAUGUGUGUUGCUAGCAUUUCUCCUCUUACUUUGUGAGUAUUUCAAUUUACCAGUUUCUCACUCUCUUUUAUCAAUCUUUCUCCCAAAAUUCCUAAGGGAGGCGAUAAAUUGACUUUCCUAGACUGAAGAUGGCUAAUUUUUUUAAGGGUGGUGCUGAAUCUUUCUCAUAGUAUGCAGAAAAAAAGAGACAUCCAGUGUGAUCUUGAACUUGGAUUUACCUGUAGUUCUCUCUCUCUCUCCCCUGUUUUCUUUUUUGUUGGCAAAAUUUGUUUCUUAAAAGGAUCGAAUGCUGACGCACAACCAAUACUUUAUACUGUGGUCCUGGUCCUGUUAACAAUUUUAAGACUUCCUUUAUACAUGUUGGUUUAUUUUAGGUUGCUUGUGUUUAAGGCUGUUAUAAAUAAACUAAGCUUGUGUGAAACAUAUGAUAAUAAGGGGGAAGGAGGCUGGGAAUUUGGUAUGUAGAAUUUUUCCUUCUUUGUCACAUCUGGUAAAACUUUAAUAUUCUUUUCUAUGGGAGAGGGAGAGUGUGGGAGAAGAAGAUGGGGGGAGGGGUUUGUCAAAUGGGAAAAACAAGAAAAAUUUGCAGAAAAUUUACUUCUCCACCUCAUCUAGUGAAACUUGAAUAUUCUUUUGCAACUUGUUUGAUUUUUCCAAAGAUAUGGCUUCCUAUAUCAUUGUGGGGAUUUUGAUAUUUUAUAUUGGUAAAUAAAUUUAGUCCUUUGCGUUCAUCCUUGGUUGCUACUAAGGGAAGACUGUAUUUCUUUUUUUUCUUUUUUUUUUCUUUUUUUUUUUUUUUUGUAUUUGGUGCAGGUAAAUAACAACUUCCUUUCAGUUGGCAAUGAAAACAAAGAAAUCAAUGUGUUCAAUUUUAGCACUGGAAGGAUAAUUAAUAAAUCAAUAUUUGACAGUGAAGUUACUGCAAUGGAUCAUGAUCAUACCGGACAUCUCAUAUUUUGUGGAGAUGCACAGGGAUGUAUAUACUCAGUAAAUAUGAACUCCCGCACAGGUGUAUUAUCUCGCUCUCAUCGCUAUCGAAGUAGCAGCAGACACAAAUCUCCAGUCACAACAGUGCAAUAUCGGAGUUUCUCUUUCUUGGCUCGAGGACCUGUGUUGUUGACAUGUACUCAGGAUGGAAGCCUGUCUUUCUUCAGUGUGGCUUUGGAGAUACAAGGUUAUUUAACUCUUCGAUGCUCACUCAAAUUAACUCCACGUAUACACAAAGUUCAAGCUUCUUUCUGCCCUCUUCUUUCCCUUGAAAAAGGAGAAUUCAUAGUUGCUGGAAGUGAGGACUCAAAUGUCUAUUUCUAUGAUUUAACACGGCCAAAACAUACAUGCGUAAACAAGCUUCAGGGUCAUCGGUUUCCAGUAGUGGGUAUUGCUUGGAACCAUGGAGAAAAUUUUUUGGCUUCAUCUGAUUUUUAUGGCAUAGUAAUUGUUUGGAAAAGAGAAAGAACAAAUCAAAACAAAAAUACAUAAUAGAAUUCUAAAGCGUAUACUUGACGGCUUGUGAAGAUUGCUUUCUUUACAAUUACAUUGCUUUCCUUUUUCUUUCGCUUUUACCGUUCUCCUUUUGUAUCUUUUGUGUUAUCAUUUUUUAAUUUUUUUAAUUUUUGCUGCAAUGUACUCUGUACCCAUGAAAUUAAUCAAUCAAUCAUCCCCAGCCUCUCGGGAAGCGGAAGAAAUUACGUUCAAAAAGUGUAUUGUGUUUUGCGAGGAGGAAAAUGUAUUCUUAGACAUGAUUAGGGAUUUUGUAUACGAAUUAUGAGAAAUGUAUUUUCUUUGGACGUUGUCCACCGUGUAAUUUUACACAAUCAAAGAAUAAGGCGUCUUUGUCUG